UGAGCUGUGACAGCGGCGGCGGCAGGAACAACAAGCGGGAGUCCACGGACAGCAUCUCCGCUGACGAGGUGGAGGAGGAGGGCGCCUCCGCACCGGCAGACUGUCCUGACACCCCUUCUACGAGCCCAGGACAGCAGAAACGUCACACGUACGUCAACAUCAAACCAGAUGGACACGCUUAUGUCAACGUGGAACCCAAAAGUAAAUCCAACCGGGAGCCGAAAGGAGUCCUGUUCUAUGCGGUGACAGACUAUUCCCCCA
Branchiostoma belcheri (Belcher's lancelet) is the source of this 261-nucleotide long non-coding RNA. RefSeq lists it as uncharacterized. Lineage: Eukaryota; Metazoa; Chordata; Leptocardii; Amphioxiformes; Branchiostomatidae. The transcript has 3 exons. The record is from RefSeq and is a predicted model, not a curated record.